UGGGGAAUUUUGGACAAUGGGGGAAACCCUGAUCCAGCCAUCCCGCGUGUGCGAUGAAGGCCUUCGGGUUGUAAAGCACUUUUGGCAGGAAAGAAACGUCGCGGGUUAAUACCCCGCGAAACUGACGGUACCUGCAGAAUAAGCACCGGCUAACUACGUGCCAGCAGCCGCGGUAAUACGUAGGGUGCAAGCGUUAAUCGGAAUUACUGGGCGUAAAGCGUGCGCAGGCGGUUCGGAAAGAAAGAUGUGAAAUCCCAGAGCUUAACUUUGGAACUGCAUUUUUAACUACCGGGCUAGAGUGUGUCAGAGGGAGGUGGAAUUCCGCGUGUAGCAGUGAAAUGCGUAGAUAUGCGGAGGAACACCGAUGGCGAAGGCAGCCUCCUGGGAUAACACUGACGCUCAUGCACGAAAGCGUGGGGAGCAAACAGGAUUAGAUACCCUGGUAGUCCACGCCCUAAACGAUGUCAACUAGCUGUUGGGGCCUUCGGGCCUUGGUAGCGCAGCUAACGCGUGAAGUUGACCGCCUGGGGAGUACGGUCGCAAGAUUAAAACUCAAAGGAAUU
RNAcentral lists this ribosomal RNA (563 nucleotides) under uncultured bacterium. RNAcentral's name for it is "partial 16S ribosomal RNA". It matches the Rfam family "Bacterial small subunit ribosomal RNA", at positions 355 to 911 of the family's 1533-position model. The record is from RNAcentral.